CCUACGGGAGGCAGCAGUGAGGAAUAUUGGUCAAUGGACGCAAGUCUGAACCAGCCAUGCCGCGUGCAGGAAGACGGCUCUAUGAGUUGUAAACUGCUUUUGUACGAGGGUAAACGCAGAUACGCGUAUCUGUCUGAAAGUAUCGUACGAAUAAGGAUCGGCUAACUCCGUGCCAGCAGCCGCGGUAAUACGGAGGAUUCAAGCGUUAUCCGGAUUUAUUGGGUUUAAAGGGUGCGUAGGCGGUCGGAUAAGUUAGAGGUGAAAACCCGAGGCUCAACGUCGGAAUUGCCUCUGAUACUGGUCGGCUAGAGAGUAGUUGCGGUAGGCGGAAUGUAUGGUGUAGCGGUGAAAUGCUUAGAGAUCAUACAGAACACCGAUUGCGAAGGCAGCUUACCAAGCUACUUCUGACGUUGAGGCACGAAAGCGUGGGGAGCAAACAGGAUUAGAUACCCUAGUAGUC
This 460-nucleotide ribosomal RNA is filed under the name uncultured bacterium. RNAcentral's name for it is "partial 16S ribosomal RNA". It matches the Rfam family "Bacterial small subunit ribosomal RNA", at positions 338 to 795 of the family's 1533-position model. The record is from RNAcentral.